AGCAGCCGCGGUAAUUCCAGCUCCAAUAGCGUAUAUUAAAGUUGUUGCAGUUAAAAAGCUCGUAGUUGAAUUUCGGGAUCAAUGCGUCGGUCGUGCCUUCGGUACGUACUAGCGUCAUUGAUUCCUCCCUUCUGAAGAACCGUGAUGUCAUUAAUUUGGUGUUACGGGAAAUCAGGACUGUUACCUUGAAAAAUUAGAGUGUUUAAAGCAGGCUAACGCUUGAAUACAUUAGCAUGGAAUAAUGAAAUAGGACGUUCGAACCUAUUUUGUUGGUUUCUAGGAUCGACGUAAUGAUUAAUAGGGAUAGUUGGGGGCAUUAGUAUUCAAUUGUCAGAGGUGAAAUUCUUGGAUUUAUUGAAGACUAACUACUGCGAAAGCAUUUGCCAAGGAUGUUUUCAUUAAUCAAGAACGAAAGUUAGGGGAUCGAAGACGAUCAGAUACCGUCGUAGUCUUAACCAUAAACUAUGCCGACUAGGGAUCGGGAUGAUGUUAAUUUU
Molecule: unclassified non-coding RNA, 497 nt
Filed under: uncultured Glomus
Lineage: Eukaryota; Fungi; Glomeromycota; Glomeromycetes; Glomerales; Glomeraceae
Description: SSU rRNA
Rfam family: Eukaryotic small subunit ribosomal RNA
Source: RNAcentral